CCUACGGGAGGCAGCAGUGGGGAAUAUUUGGCAAUGGGCGCAAGCCUGACCCAGCAACGCCGCGUGAAGGAAGAAGGCUUUCGGGUUGUAAACUUCUUUUGUCAGGGACGAAGCAAGUGACGGUACAUGACGAAUAAGCCACGGCUAACUACGUGCCAGCAGCCGCGGUAAUACGUAGGUGGCAAGCGUUAUCCGUAUUUACUGGGGGUAAAGGGCGUGUAGGCGGGACUGCAAGUCAGAUGUGAAAACCACGGGCUCAACCUGUGGCCUGCAUGUGAAACUGUAGUUCUUGAGUACUGUAGAGGCAGACGGAAUUCCUAGUGUAGCGGUGAACUGCGUAGAUAUUAGGAGGAACACCAGUGGCGAAGGCGGUCUGCUGGACAGCAACUGACGCUGAGGCGCGAAAGCGUGGGGAGCAAACAGGAUUAGAUACCCUGGUAGUC
RNAcentral lists this ribosomal RNA (443 nucleotides) under uncultured bacterium. RNAcentral describes it as "partial 16S ribosomal RNA". It matches the Rfam family "Bacterial small subunit ribosomal RNA", at positions 338 to 795 of the family's 1533-position model. The record is from RNAcentral.